Molecule: ribosomal RNA, 253 nt
Filed under: uncultured bacterium
Lineage: Bacteria
Description: partial 16S ribosomal RNA
Rfam family: Bacterial small subunit ribosomal RNA
Source: RNAcentral
UACGGGGGGGGCAAGCGUUGUUCGGAAUUACUGGGCGUAAAGGGCUCGUAGGCGGCCAACUAAGUCAGACGUGAAAUCCCUCGGCUUAACCGGGGAACUGCGUCUGAUACUGGAUGGCUAGAGGUUGGGAGAGGGAUGCGGAAUUCCAGGUGUAGCGGUGAAAUGCGCAGAUAUCAGGAGGAACACCGGUGGCGAAGGCGGUUCUCUGGGCAUGACCUGACGCUGAGGAGCGAAAGUGUGGGGAGCGAACAGG